AUUGAACGCUGGCGGCAUGCCUUACACAUGCAAGUCGAACGGCAGCACGGGUGCUUGCACCUGGUGGCGAGUGGCGAACGGGUGAGUAAUACAUCGGAACAUGUCCUGUAGUGGGGGAUAGCCCGGCGAAAGCCGGAUUAAUACCGCAUACGAUCUACGGAUGAAAGCGGGGGACCUUCGGGCCUCGCGCUAUAGGGUUGGCCGAUGGCUGAUUAGCUAGUUGGUGGGGUAAAGGCCUACCAAGGCGACGAUCAGUAGCUGGUCUGAGAGGACGACCAGCCACACUGGGAAUGAGGACAGGCCCAGGACUCUUAGGGGGGGAAGAGGGGGGAAUUUGGGGAAAUGGGGGAAAGGCCGAGCCAAGAAUGGCGCGGUGUGGAAAAAAGCCUUCGGGUUUGAAAGCACUUUUUUCCGGGAAGAAAUCCUUGGCUUUAAAAAAGGCGGGGGAAGACGGGCACGGAAAAAAAAGCCCCGGCUAAAUACG
RNAcentral lists this ribosomal RNA (484 nucleotides) under uncultured bacterium. Its description in RNAcentral is "partial 16S ribosomal RNA". It matches the Rfam family "Bacterial small subunit ribosomal RNA", at positions 29 to 505 of the family's 1533-position model. The record is from RNAcentral.